This is a long non-coding RNA of Sebastes umbrosus (honeycomb rockfish), 1902 nucleotides long. RefSeq lists it as uncharacterized. NCBI's taxonomy places the organism in Eukaryota, Metazoa, Chordata, Actinopteri, Perciformes, Sebastidae. The transcript has 3 exons. The record is from RefSeq and is a predicted model, not a curated record.
UGUAGUGUAAAGAGCUUUGAAUGGUCGGAAGACUAGAAAAGCGCUAUAUAAAAGCAAGUCCAUUUACCAUUUACAAAUAUCAACAAAUCAAACCCUUGUGCACAAUCUUCACCUUAUUUCACUAUCAGAUAAACAAAUACAGAUUGGUGUCAGAUAAGAUAAUACAAUCUGCACUUUUAUGUAUGCAACAUAUUUCACUAUCAGAUAAACAAAGAAAGAUUGAUGUCAGCUAAGAUGGUAGUUCAAAAUAACAUCAUGGAUAGGGUUGAAAUUGUUUUUUUUCUUGCUCAUUUGUAUAGACCUAUAAAUUAAAAUUGGCUAUGAAAACAAUAUAAUCUUUGACAUUUUCAACAAUAUAUACUGACCCAUGCUUAAAGUACAUGGGGGAAGGGGGUGAGAAUAACAGUUUGUGAGGGAGGAUGCUGCAAUGAUGGUAGUUCAAAAUAACAUCAUGGAUAGGGUUGAAAUAGUUUUUUCUAGAUCAUUUGUAUAGACCUAUAAAUUAAAAUUGGUUAUGAAAACAAUAUAAUCUUAGACAUUUUCAACAAUAUAUACUAAACCAUGUUUUAAAGCAAAUUGUACAUGGGUACAGGGGGUGAGAAUAACACAUCAGUUUGUGAGGGAGGAUGCUGCAAUGAUCCAGCUACUCACUCUACAACCUGACUGACUGAAUGACGUAACUGUAUUACCCGCUGCUUAUGCCAGAAAAGCAAAUGAGUUCAUCCACCUCCCAACAACAUCCUCACCCAUUACAUGUUUACAACGUUUUAGGGCCAUGUUGUGUAUAAAUGAAUGAAUAGUUUAAACAUAUAAUGUGGUCACUACCAGCUCCAGGUUUCUUGAAUAACAGAUAUCUGUGUCAACGUUUAGAGAGAUAAGGGCUGGAUAGCAACAGUGACGCUGUUGGGCCUAUAGAUACACAGCUCACUACAUCACAUUAUAUCACAUUAUUAAGUGAAAUAUGGUGACAACACAAGCAGAGACUAUUUAAAAACACAAUAAAAAUAGAGUUUGUUUCCGUUUAGCUGAGCUGGGUAGUGGCUGUUGCUCCAAACAGAUUGCUGUUAUGACAGUUAGCAGCUAGUUAGCCGGCUAGCUUUGGAUAUAUAAAGCUCUUCUUCUUCUUCUUCCAGAUGUUAUUAGCCGAGGAGGAGCAGGAAUGCUGAAGGGCAGAAAACACUGGGAGACGCUGUGUGUGGGGUAACAUCAGUCAGUACGGCAGUGAAGGCCGAUACAAAUUGCAAUGCAAAGGUGGACACAGAGAACAGGUGAAGGCAGUGCAUAUUUCACAGAGAUGUACAUGAUCGAUUACAUGUGUAAUCCGUAUUCUUCAUGUUUAUAAUCUAUCUAUAAUUUUGUCACCCUGACUACUGUAAUUGUAUUAUGUUGGUCUAUUCUGUACACACCACAUCUAUUGCAUCCCCUUUAGGAAAAUUUGUGAUAUUGGGCUUGAUUUAACUUGUAUUUAGCAAGUAUAUUUCCAAAAUGCUACUGAAUCUGUCUAAUGUCAAAGUUCAAUUUAAUGUCAUCUUUUUUUAAAAGGUGGUAUAAAUGUAGGUACAUGUGGAUGUGCAUGCACAUUUAUUGAGAGAGAGAGAAAUAGAGAAAGAAAUUUGCACAGGCCCUAGUGGUGUUUUAUUGGCUGCCAGGCAUUGCAAUGGCCCAAUGACAAGCGAGGGGUCGGUCUACAGUCUCUUCUCAUAGCAACCCAGGAAGCAUUCAGAGAUUAUCAUGCGCAGUAUCAGGGUGCCAGCAUGUAUCAGUGAUGACAUCUGACUCUUAACACAAUAAUUUACCAUCAUAAAACGGAGGGAUUGUCAUGUGAUUUCAGUAUGAAAUAUUGGAAGUGAAAAGCAGCUCAGUUGUAGUGUGUUGUAAAAGUCGAUUGUAGAUAAAAAAAAA